RNAcentral lists this ribosomal RNA (496 nucleotides) under uncultured bacterium. Its description in RNAcentral is "partial 16S ribosomal RNA". It matches the Rfam family "Bacterial small subunit ribosomal RNA", at positions 29 to 507 of the family's 1533-position model. The record is from RNAcentral.
AUGAACGCUGGCGGCGUGCCUAAUACAUGCCAGUCGAGCGAACAGACGAGGAGCUUGCUCCUCUGACGUUAGCGGCGGACGGGUGAGUAACACGUGGAUAACCUACCUAUAAGACUGGGAUAACUUCGGGAAACCGGAGCUAAUACCGGAUAAUAUAUUGAACCGCAUGGUUCAAUAGUGAAAGACGGUUUUGCUGUCACUUAUAGAUGGAUCCGCGCCGCAUUAGCUAGUUGGUAAGGUAACGGCUUACCAAGGCAACGAUGCGUAGCCGACCUGAGAGGGUGAUCGGCCACACUGGAACUGAGACACGGUCCAGACUCCUACGGGAGGCAGCAGUAGGGAAUCUUCCGCAAUGGGCGAAAGCCUGACGGAGCAACGCCGCGUGAGUGAUGAAGGUCUUCGGAUUGUAAAACUCUGUUAUUAGGGAAGAACAAAUGUGUAAGUAACUAUGCACGUCUUGACGGUACCUAAUCAGAAAGCCACGGCUAACUACGUG